Molecule: ribosomal RNA, 433 nt
Filed under: uncultured bacterium
Lineage: Bacteria
Description: partial 16S ribosomal RNA
Rfam family: Bacterial small subunit ribosomal RNA
Source: RNAcentral
AACGAACGCUGGCGGCAUGCCUAACACAUGCAAGUCGAACGAGACCUUCGGGUCUAGUGGCGCACGGGUGCGUAACGCGUGGGAACCUGCCCUUAGGUUCGGAAUAACUCCCCGAAAGGGGUGCUAAUACCGGAUAAUGUCUUCGGACCAAAGAUUUAUCGCCUUUGGAUGGGCCCGCGUUGGAUUAGCUAGUUGGUAGGGUAAAAGCCUACCAAGGCGACGAUCCAUAGCUGGUCUGAGAGGAUGAUCAGCCACACUGGGACUGAGACACGGCCCAGACUCCUAAGGGAGGCAGGAGUGGGGAAUAGUGGACAAUGGGCGAAAGCCUGAUCCAGCAAGGCCGGGUGAGUGAUGAAGGCCUUAGGGUUGUAAAGCUCUUUUAACCGGGAUGAUAAUGACAGUACCGGGAGAAUAAGCGCCGGCUAACUCCGUG